AUGCGAUAAGUAAUGUGAAUUGCAGAUACAGUGAAUCAUCGAAUCUUUGAACGCAAAUGGCACUCUAUGGUAUUCCGUAGAGUACGUCUGUUUGAGCGUCGCGAACAUCUCCACAAUUAGUUUUUUUAAUUAGUUGAGGGUUUUGAGGUUGUCAUAUAAACAGUGACUCCCUUUAAAAUAAUUAGUGAUGACCUUAUGAAUGGGUUAAUACUGUGUGUUAUAAUGGAUUACAUCCAUCACCAGUCAGAGAGUAAUCUCGCCUUAGUAAUUUGUAGUGAUUGCUUCUAACUGCCAAUUGGCAACAACCUGAUCAAAUCGACCUCAAAUCAGAUGGGAUUACCCGCUGAACUUAA
This 353-nucleotide unclassified non-coding RNA is filed under the name uncultured Wallemia. RNAcentral's name for it is "partial contains 5.8S ribosomal RNA, internal transcribed spacer 2, and large subunit ribosomal RNA". The stretch from base 1 to 101 matches the Rfam family "5.8S ribosomal RNA", at positions 53 to 154 of the family's 154-position model. Lineage: Eukaryota; Fungi; Basidiomycota; Wallemiomycetes; Wallemiales; Wallemiaceae. The record is from RNAcentral.